RNAcentral lists this unclassified non-coding RNA (249 nucleotides) under Hevea brasiliensis (rubber tree). The record is from RNAcentral. Lineage: Eukaryota; Viridiplantae; Streptophyta; Magnoliopsida; Malpighiales; Euphorbiaceae.
GUGCUCGAGUAGUGGAGCUCGGCGAGGUGGAUUUUGGGGGUGGAGGAGGCGGCGGAGAUGGUUGAGCGGAGGUAUUGGAUGUUGGAGGGGGUGUUAACGAUGGUGGUGGUGAAAACAGAGGAUCUCCGAUGGAUUAAAUUGGCGAGUUCGAGGAAGGGGAUGAGAUGGCCGUGGGCCAUGAAAGGGAGCAUAAGGAUGUGGUGGUCGCUGGAGUUAGGUUCAGAGCCCAUUUUUUCCGGCGGACGGCGG